RNAcentral lists this ribosomal RNA (634 nucleotides) under uncultured Marinobacter sp. RNAcentral describes it as "bacterial SSU rRNA". It matches the Rfam family "Bacterial small subunit ribosomal RNA", at positions 870 to 1504 of the family's 1533-position model. The record is from RNAcentral. Lineage: Bacteria; Pseudomonadati; Pseudomonadota; Gammaproteobacteria; Pseudomonadales; Marinobacteraceae.
CGCCUGGGGAGUGCGGCCGCAAGGUUAAAACUCAAAUGAAUUGACGGGGGCCCGCACAAGCGGUGGAGCAUGUGGUUUAAUUCGACGCAACGCGAAGAACCUUACCUGGCCUUGACAUGCAGAGAACUUUCCAGAGAUGGAUUGGUGCCUUCGGGAACUCUGACACAGGUGCUGCAUGGCCGUCGUCAGCUCGUGUCGUGAGAUGUUGGGUUAAGUCCCGUAACGAGCGCAACCCCUAUCCCUAGUUGCUAGCAGUUCGGCUGAGAACUCUAGGGAGACUGCCGGUGACAAACCGGAGGAAGGUGGGGAUGACGUCAGGUCAUCAUGGCCCUUACGGCCAGGGCUACACACGUGCUACAAUGGUGCGCACAGAGGGCUGCAAACCCGCGAGGGGGAGCCAAUCUCACAAAACGCAUCGUAGUCCGGAUCGCAGUCUGCAACUCGACUGCGUGAAGUCGGAAUCGCUAGUAAUCGUGAAUCAGAAUGUCACGGUGAAUACGUUCCCGGGCCUUGUACACACCGCCCGUCACACCAUGGGAGUGGAUUGCACCAGAAGUGGUUAGUCUAACCUUCGGGGGGACGAUCACCACGGUGUGGUUCAUGACUGGGGUGAAGUCGUAACAAGGUAACCGUA